UCCUAAUAUCAGAGGCAGGGAUGGAAAGAUCUAGACUGUGUUUUUGCUAACACCCGUAAAGCACAGUAAUAACUAGCGAGCCAUGCACCAGAACAGGUAGCUUUUUAACUAAGGUACUACAUGACCUUCUAAGGUAGUUAGGGUAGUUUGCAGUAACCCAUACUUAACAAGUGUGACUGGAAUAUAGUACGAUUGAGUAGUCAUUUACUAACCAUUUGUAACACUUAAGGCUAUAUUACAGCUUCAUCAUUUAAAUCCAUUAUGGAAUUAAAGCAGUAUAUUUUAUCCUAACAGUUUUAUUUAUUUUUAUUUAACUUCUAAUUUAAGUUUUUUAGCUCAGAUAUCUCCCCUUGCUAUUUAAGUUUUUUAGGAACUUCACUAUAAACAUAUGUCAAUCACAAAGGCGAUUAAGCGGUUACAUAAAUAAUGCUUCUUUUAUUGGAUGGGCUUAUAACGUGCAAACUAUUCAGAGGAAAAGGAGCAAGAUUAAGAGAUAAUGGGCAGACUUAUUGUCUUUUAACUUAAAUCUCCUAAUUGCAUGAUGGUAACAAACAAAAAGUUAAAUGCAGGCUCAAUAGCCACUAUUAAUUGUUGAAAUCUCUCAGAUGCGUGUGUUUAAUUUCACUUCUGGAAAUAAAAUAUAGAUACUAAUAACUUAAAUUUGUUUAUUAUAAGCUUUAUUAGAAUUAAAGAUAGAAAAUUUUCUUUUAUUUGCAGUUUAAUGAUGUAAGUUUUUAUGGCAAUUUAAAAUAGUUUACAAUAAUUACUUACACAUAUAUACAUAUACUUCAUUAUAUUAUCCUUUUAGACAUAUGUAAGGAAUAAAGCUAAUAAUUUAUGAAGUUUAACAAUCAGAAAAUGCUCUUUAAAAUAAUUUCCUUAAGUGUGUUAGUGUAGGUAUAAAGCUCAUAAUUACCAAAAUACUUACAGUAAAAGCAUGAACCCAAGUCAUUAAAUAAAAACAAGAGCACAUUUGUAAAAAAAGUGCACAAAAAUCAUGCUCUUGUACAUACUUUCCAGAAGGGCGUAUAUGUACUUUUAGGCACUGUCUUCUCUUCAGGUUUCUGUACCUACAAUGUAGAGCAGGACUUGGGAUGUCCAGGUGCUACUGCAGGAAGAUGACUAAGGCAACCACGUGCAGAAAGCUUGUGUAAUGCGCAGAGAAAUGUAAGAGAGCAUUCACAAGUAAAGGUUUGCAGUGAUAGUUGUGUCUUCAUGUGAU
Long non-coding RNA from Pipistrellus kuhlii (Kuhl's pipistrelle), 1222 nucleotides. RefSeq lists it as uncharacterized. The record is from RefSeq and is a predicted model, not a curated record. NCBI's taxonomy places the organism in Eukaryota, Metazoa, Chordata, Mammalia, Chiroptera, Vespertilionidae. The transcript has 2 exons.